This is a non-coding RNA of Grifola frondosa (maitake), 72 nucleotides long. The record is from Rfam. Lineage: Eukaryota; Fungi; Basidiomycota; Agaricomycetes; Polyporales; Grifolaceae.
GUAAUAUUAGUUUAAUUGGCAAAAUAACGUCUUGUGGCGACGAUGUUCAGAGUUCAAGUCUCUGAUUUUACC